This is a non-coding RNA of Drosophila melanogaster (fruit fly), 506 nucleotides long. NCBI's taxonomy places the organism in Eukaryota, Metazoa, Arthropoda, Insecta, Diptera, Drosophilidae. The record is from Ensembl.
ACGCAGACGCAAACAUGUGUGGCCAAAGGACAGGGCGGCGACCCUCGGCAUUGUUCGAAUUGAAAAGGAAUCAUCGCGGACUCGGGCGAGCGAUUUGCAUACGCAGGACGAAGGACGCAGGACGAAGACCAAACCACCACCACCAACUCCUUAUCUAUUUGCCUGAGGUCCUCGGGACCAGCACUUUAUUCAAAUUUCUAGCCGAUCUGGUCGUGUGAAGUUUCGUCUUGAGAAGAUUUUGCCCCGAAACGAAGGAUGCGCGACGGCUGCGUGUCUCUCGGGGAAUCGAACGAAAGGAGCCUGGGAACAUCCGCGAAGGACACGCAGGCGGAUUGUCUCUGUACUCAUUUGCCUAGACAUUGGAUCUUGGAAAUGUCUAGACAAUGGAUAGGAAAUGGGUGGCGAUACUAAUUAGUACUAUCUGUUUACUAUCCCAGCCUUAGCAUAACGAUAAUAAUAUGAUACACGUAUUUAUGUAUGAGUAUUAUUUACUUAAACAUACACCU